RNAcentral lists this ribosomal RNA (492 nucleotides) under uncultured bacterium. RNAcentral's name for it is "partial 16S ribosomal RNA". It matches the Rfam family "Bacterial small subunit ribosomal RNA", at positions 29 to 507 of the family's 1533-position model. The record is from RNAcentral.
AGUGGACGCUGGCGGUAGGCCUAACACAUGCAAGUCGAACGGCAGCACAGUAAGAGCUUGCUCUUACGGGUGGCGAGUGGCGGACGGGUGAGGAAUACAUCGGAAUCUACUUUUUCGUGGGGGAUAACGUAGGGAAACUUACGCUAAUACCGCAUACGACCUACGGGUGAAAGCAGGGGAUCUUCGGACCUUGCGCGAUUGAAUGAGCCGAUGUCGGAUUAGCUAGUUGGCGGGGUAAAGGCCCACCAAGGCGACGAUCCGUAGCUGGUCUGAGAGGAUGAUCAGCCACACUGGAACUGAGACACGGUCCAGACUCCUACGGGAGGCAGCAGUGGGGAAUAUUGGACAAUGGGCGCAAGCCUGAUCCAGCCAUACCGCGUGGGUGAAGAAGGCCUUCGGGUUGUAAAGCCCUUUUGUUGGGAAAGAAAAGCAGCAGGUUAAUACCCCGCUGUUCUGACGGUACCCAAAGAAUAAGCACCAGCUAACUUCGUG